GCUAAGAAUAUUCCGCAAUGGACGAAAGUCUGACGGAGCGACGCCGCGUGGAUGACGAAGGCCGAAAGGUUGUAAAGUCCUUUUGUCGAUGAAGAAUAAGGGUAGGAGGGAAUGCCUGCCUGAUGACGUUAGUCGGCGAAUAAGCCCCGGCUAAUUACGUGCCAGCAGCCGCGGUAACACGUAAGGGGCAAGCGUUGUUCGGAAUUAUUGGGCGUAAAGGGUACGUAGGCGGUUUGGUAAGCCCGGCGUGAAAUCCUGCAGCUUAACUGUAGAGCUGCGCUGGGAACUGCGAAACUUGAGUCAUGGAAGGGGAGUUAGAAUUCCAGGUGUAGGGGUGAAAUCUGUAGAUAUCUGGAAGAAUACCGGUGGCGAAGGCGAACUCCUGGCCAAUGACUGACGCUGAGGUACGAAAGUGCGGGGAGCAAACAGGAUUAGAAACCCCUGUAGUCC
Molecule: ribosomal RNA, 450 nt
Filed under: uncultured bacterium
Lineage: Bacteria
Description: partial 16S ribosomal RNA
Rfam family: Bacterial small subunit ribosomal RNA
Source: RNAcentral